RNAcentral lists this ribosomal RNA (243 nucleotides) under uncultured bacterium. Its description in RNAcentral is "partial 16S ribosomal RNA". It matches the Rfam family "Bacterial small subunit ribosomal RNA", at positions 1257 to 1500 of the family's 1533-position model. The record is from RNAcentral.
GCGAGGUGGAGCAAAUCUCAAAAAACCGUCCCAGUUCGGAUCGCAGGCUGCAACCCGCCUGCGUGAAGUUGGAAUCGCUAGUAAUCGCGGAUCAGCAUGCCGCGGUGAAUACGUUCCCGGGCCUUGUACACACCGCCCGUCACACCAUGAGAGUCGGGAACACCCGAAGUCCGUAGCCUAACCGCAAGGGGGGCGCGGCCGAAGGUGGGUUCGAUAAUUGGGGUGAAGUCGUAACAAGGUAGC